Molecule: long non-coding RNA, 6691 nt
Organism: Homo sapiens (human)
Lineage: Eukaryota; Metazoa; Chordata; Mammalia; Primates; Hominidae
Exons: 2
Source: RefSeq, a predicted model, not a curated record
ACAGCUGAGCCUGCUGCGGUUGCUGCUGACUUCAAAGGCACUGCUUCCCUUGGAUCCACAUCAAGGACUGGAAUGAGAAAAGGGUCCCCUGACCUUCUUAUAGUGAGCGCUUAAACCUUUGUGUUGUGUGCAUGUGGGGUGUGUGUGUGUGUAUGUGUGUGUGUGUAUUUUUCCUGUCACUAUUGUGUUUUUAUGCGCUGGAUGUAGAAUGUUUGAAAACAAUAAUCGGAAAUUGUCUUUCACCUAUGGCCGGAGGCUGGAAUCUGGCUCAGUGAGGGGAGAGGCUGUGUUCACCCAGUGGGAACCUGGUGGCCACAUGACGGAUGUCACUAGGGUGGAUGGCAGGGCCUUCCCAGCCCCGGUCCCAAACACUGGUGCUCUGAGGUCCCCUCAGCCAGCCAGGCCACUGGCACUUGUUGAGUGUGUCUCUGCGACCCGGCUCUUUCAGUGGGAGAUGCCAGCCUGGAGCCCACCAUCCACCUCACUCUCAAGGUUUUCCAUUUCAGCUCAACCCGACCUGAUUAUCAACACCACACCAGGCCUGAAAGCCAGCCCUCUCCUGGGCUCUUGGGAAGGUGCCCUUGUGGUGGUGGGGAGCCCUGUGAGGAGAUAGCAGAGUUUCCACCCACCCCGGGGUUAAGGCUAUGGGUGCUGGUCGUGGGAAGCUGAUGAACUCUGUGGCCAUAAGUAAGGGAUCGUGAAGCUUCUCCAACCCCAGCUGCCCGCUCAGGCCUGCACUCGGCUUCCUCUCUGGGGAAGGGCAACAACAAGCAGCUCCUUCUCACAAGCCCGUCCCCUGCUGGGAGGCAUCGCCCAGCUUCAGUGGCCUCUCGUUAACAGAAAGCACCACAGCAAUGCUAACAGGGGCCGGCUAGGCCUGUGCGGCAUGACCUCUCCCAAAAGGAGACCAGCCAAGCUGCAGGCCAAUACCCACAGGCUGCAAAGGAGACGGAGACUGUUGACGAGGGAAAUAAUGAGAAGCACGAAGAUUUGUACCGAAGGGAUAUUGGCCGCAGAGAGCCUCUCUUCAGGCUUUCUCAACCAUUCUUGGUAGGCCCUGAGGUUUAAAGGAUCCAGCGCAGAAAAAUCAGGCCCAAACUGAUGAGGGCCUAGCCUUCCAAAAAGACGCAAAUCACCCCUUUCCUGCCCCAAACACCGGGCAGAGCAAAUGCUAUUAAUAACCCCAGCCUCCCCCAGCCCAUGCAGGCCCUCUAGUGCGGCCAGCUGUUCCGAAACAGGUUUGGGAAAGUGAUCUUUGGCACAUAAUGAAAAGGGUGUGUAUGUGUGGGGGAGCACCCAAGAGUUCUCUAUCAGGGCCAAUAUUAUUUUUAAUUGCCGAGAAUCGGCCUGUGGCCGUUACUCAAGGCUGCAGAGCACAGGCUUGCCAGGGAUCGGAAACCAACUUCAAGAGGAGGUAAAAAAGCACGUUCCAAGGACUGCUCAUUACCGAGCUGUCGUUUCUUACGGAAAAUCAGGUUACGCCUCAGAGUUUAUACAGUCCUCUCCCCACCACCUCUCCCUCUUUCGUUCCCAUUUAGAAAAGGAGCAGUGAAUUUGAGCAAUCUGGGAAUUUUGGUUUCUGCCCUUCCCCCGAAGCAUGACCGAUGGCCCAUUUUUCAAGCCAAAUCUCACCCCUUGCAGGCAGCUGUCAGGAAACCACAGAAGGUGCUUGAAGGCACACAAGAAAUGGCUGGUUCUAAUCUGGAGAAAAAAAUGAAUUAACAAGGCAGCUACUUAUGGAAGAAUGUUUUCUUUUCUUCAGCCCCAGCCUGCAUAUUUUCACAACAUGUGUACUCUGUUACCUUGUCACUUCCCUGUUUUCUUUGGGUAAAUAACUGGGCUCUGGACUUGGGGGGCGGGAAGAAAGAAAAACCCAGCUCGCAGUAUCACUGGGAAGGCCUGGCAGGCUGAGCUGGAGGGGAAGAAGGAGCACGCCCCGAGGAGAGAACAAGCCCAUUGCAGGCUCGGCUUGGCCCAUUCUGGAUGGGGCUUUUCAUUGAACUCUGCAGGUAAUGAUGUGGCAAUGAGAGACGGAGGAGAAAACUGCUCACCUCAGCCUUGGGCUUGGCAGACCUGAGGCUGAGGGAAAUAAAGAACUUCUCUCCUUCGCCAAGUCAAAUGUGAAGCCCUCUCUGAACCCGGCAGAGUCAACAAGGCAGACGGAGGCUUUUCUGCCAGCCUCUGCCCUCCCACUGGCUAGAGAAGCGGCCAGGGUGAGAGAGGUUGGUCUCAUCAUGCCCAGCCGUGAACUCUGGAGGGACCGGCAGCAGCCCGGGCCUUCCGUGGAGCACACUAUUGCUUCCUUUGUAGCAAUACAUGGUCCAUGUUUGGAUGUGGAGGCAAUGGGCUCCAUCCAGAAGGUGCCCAGAGGUUUCUGAGUUCCUCUCUUCCAGAGCUGCUGUGAACAUUUUCACUUCUCUGGCCUUGGAAUACUUACCUUGUGAUGUCUGUACCAUACCCUGGAUGGGUAUCUAGCAUGGCAUCUUUUAGAUAUGCCCUGGUGAUGAGGGCACCAGGGGGAUGAAUAGCUGUGGGGAAACAAAUGGCCACUCUAACAAGUCAGGGUCUUUUCUUCAUAACACUAUAGCAACUCUCAUUUGCUUAGGUCCUCACAGCUGAUCAUUAGAACAGAGAACUAACAAUAAUAUUGCUGCCUCAUUACUCCUAAGACUGCACAGUACACAAAAGGAGUUAGUUUGCCACGUGCCAAAACAUGGCUGUGGGUGCUGGCUCCACCCUGCAGAGGGAAACUGAGGCAGAGAGCGCUCAGAGGCUGAGACCAGCACAAAAUCCCCCACAGCUGACAUGGCAAAGGCAGGGUUGACUGGGGGCUGUAUGGGCCUCUGCAUAAGUCCAUUUCCUUUCUGCAUUUGCUCAAGAGCCUUUGGUUCCCACCUUAAACUCCCUGUCUCACCCUGUAGAUCACACAGCCUUCGUCAGGCAGAGGUUUGGCGUUCAAAAGUGGCAUUUUCCGUUGCAAAGAUCUGGCCCCCACCUGUUGAGUGGUUCUUUCAGUAUCACUGGAAGGGCUGCAAAUGUCUGGUGAGGCAGGGUCACUUGGAGAGAAAAUUUGAUGCGUUGUAAGCGUUGCCUCUUCAGAACUGGCAUUUCCAGGGUGACGAGGGCUUUCACAGGGAGAAAAAGGACAAACCAAAAGCUUUCUAGGACAGUUAUGGACUCUCCAAAUUAUUCAUGUGGUCUAAUUCUGCAAAGACAGCUUCAGAGACGUGCUGUGAGGCAGACAGGAGCAGCUCUGAGGACAAAGACAAUAGCUCGUGUACAUUGCUGCCACAAGGACCAUGCUGAGAACUUUGCACACAUGACCUCAUUUCAUCCUCCCACUCGCCCUCUGCAUGGAAGACUGUUGUCCUCCUUUUCCAGCAGAGGAAACUACAGAGACCAGACAAGUCGGGCCACCAGUGUGACUCUAAAGCCGGUAUGUUCAUUCACCAAGCUGCAGUGCCUUUGAGGACAAAGCUGAAGGAGCUCCCGUCUCAGAAUGAUGCCAUUUAGCUCGAGGGCCUGCUCCCUCUGGCUUGAUGGCCUGUCCAGAAGGCUCUGCCAGUGCCCAGAUGUAAACAUCUCUCCAGCAGCGUUGCCACGUGGAACCCUCACGCUGCUGGUCCCUGAGAAGCCACACGGGGAACUUGCCUUCCUCUGCCCUCCUCCCAGGCCCAGGCCUUGACCUACCUGGUUUAUAUUUAUACCUCAGCCUGAAUCCUCACACUGCUAUUCUUUUCUUCUUCCUAGUCACCUCGCCUAAGUGUCCCCAGCGGUGCUCUGCAGAGCAGAGGCCCCAGCUCCAAAACAACAGAACACAAAGUACUUUAACCUUUGAAUGUGGCAAGACCUCCGUGAAAAAUCGUUUCUCAGCCCAUUUGAUGGGAAAAGGGUGCUAUUUUUGUGACUACCUGUAACAUCUGAGUAUGCUCGUCAGAAGUCACUCCGAGGAAAAAUCUGAUUAUUAGUUGGGAAAAUGGGGCAAGGAGGAGGCAGAGAAGAGAAGUAGCUCUGCUGGGUAUGUGGCAGUGUGACUUCUAGAACUGUUUGUGUCCAUGUGGACUUGGACAAGCCACUUCAGGACUCUGGGUCUGGGUCUUCUCAUCCAAAACAAGGUAGGGAAGAGCCGCGCAGCCAGCAGAGCUGCUGCCUUCAGCACUGGGGACCCCAGGGCAGACAUAGGGCUUCUGCCUUCUGCCCAUUCCACAUGCUGGAGUCCUCCUCGGGGUGCAGUCCUGGCAAGCGUGUGUGUCUGUGGUCAAGACGACAGACCUUUCCUGCCAUUGCUUUAGUGGGAAAAUUGCAGAAAAAGGACUACAAACACCUCUGCAGUCUUCCUUUGAUUAAUGAAAUCAGGGCAUUACUCAGAAUUGCUCCUGGGGGCGCAGUGACCCACGCAUGUAACCCAGUAUUUUGGGAGGCUGAGGCAGGUGGAUCACAUGAGGUCAGGAGUUCGAGACCAGCCUGGCCAACAUGGUGACACUCUUCUCUACCAAAAAGGCAAAAAUUAGCCGGGUGUGGUGGAGGGCACCUGUAAUUCCAGCUGCUUGGGAGGCUGAGGCAGGAGGGUCACUUGAACCUGGGAGGCAGAGGUUGCAGUGAGCCAAGAUCACGCCACUGCACUCCAGCCUAGGUGACAGAGCAAGACUCCAUCUCAAAAAAAAAAAAAAUGCCCCUGGGAUGUGUAUUAAUCACAGGUUAAUGACUUACAAAUUCAUAUCGUGUCAUAUGUAUGACAGAUUAUAUUUAGAUGUAUUUAUAUUACAUGUAUGACACUACAUGAGUACAAAUUACAGGUGUUUGUACAGAUAUUUGUAUAUUUAUUAAAAAUAUCUAUUAUAAGUAUAGAUAGGUAAUUACCUACUAUUUUAUAGGUAUUUGUCUCUAUAGACACAUAUAUAUGGACAGGUUUUUUUGUGUGUAUAUAUAUAUAUGCACACAUAUAUAUAACACUAUAUCAAUACAAAUCACAGGUAUUUUUAUAUAUAUUACAAAUACCUAUUAGAGAUAUGUAUUAGUAAAUGUCAUAUACAUAUUUAUAUAUAUAUACAUGUAAAUAUAUAGGUAUUUGUGUGUAUAUGACACUAUAUGAAUACAAAUCACAGGCAUAUACUUACACACAGAUACGGAGUCACCCAAGGAUUCCCUAUAAGGCCAUGGACAAAAAGCAUGUGUCUCCCAUGGUGGACUGAAUUGUGUCACCCUCAAAAGAUACACUGAAGUCCUAACCCUGGUACCUGUGAAUAUGACCUUAUUUUUGAAAUAAAAAUAUAUUUGCAGAUGUAAUUAUGAUGUAGGUGGAGAUGAGAUUAUUCUGGAGUAGGGUGGGCCCUCAAUCCAAUACGGCUGGUGUCCUUAUAAGAAGAGGGGAGAGGAACAGAGACAGACACUGUCAUCCACAAGGAGACCACCAUGUGAAGACACAGAUGCAUAGGGAAGGGCCACGUGAAGAUGACAGCAGUGACGGGAGUGGGGCAGCUACAAGCCAAGGAAUGUGGAGGAGUGCCGGCCACCACCAGAAGCUGAGAAGAGGCAAGGAAGGACCCUUCCCCACAGCCUUUAGGAGGAACAUGGCCCUGCCGAAACCUUGAUAUCACACCUCUAGCCUCCAGAACAACGAUGCAAUCAAUUUCUGUUGUUUUCAGACACUCAGUAAAGUACCCGCGUGGCUAGGGGAGCCCUAGGAAGCGAGUAUAGCUCUCGUGGCCGAAUGGAAUGAAGCGAAGCCUUCAUGUCAGCAUUGGGCUUGCAGGUGCUGAGCCCCCGAUGGUGGCCCCUCUUCCCGGCUUUCUCUCAGGGGCAUGGGUGGGGUGGAGAUAUUCAACUACUUCCAACGGAAACCAACACUUGAAAGGUUAUGAAGGCCCCUAAACCUCCUGCUCUUCCAUGGUGAUGGCUGACAGCUAAAGCCACACUGCCACUACCCUAAGCCCAAGCUUGAUCACCUGGAAAUGGGGACUGAGAGAGGACGAGAACAGCACAGCCUUUGAGCUCUCAUGGGGUGGCGUAAAUUUAUGGUCAAUAUGCCUCCAGAUCAGAGGUCCUGCUGUUAGAGAGUUUUCUUUUUUUGCUUUAGUGGUACACAGGAAUUCUCCCCCAGCCCCCUCAAGAUACUCACACAUCUUUUUAAAAUUUGCACCUUUUUUUCAGUCUGGUUUCCUAUGGUGAAGGGGAGGCUAGGAAAUGCCCAAUAAAUCAUCUGUCUGUCUUCACUCAAUUGAAAGGCAGGAAAUGCAGAGAACAGUCACGUUACCUUUCCACUUUGCAUAUAACAAGAGCUAUCAGGACCUGUUCCUUUGAAGGGGAGGCCCUUCUGACAGCAAUAUUAAAUUUUCGAGGCCACUGGAGUUUGUUUCUUGGGACCAGACCCAAAGUGGGCAGGCAUGUGGGAUGUUGGCUCUUUCCCCUACCAGCCCCUUCUAGGAGUAACUUCUUGGGCUUACCCUGGGAAAUCUACUCAGUCAGCAAUGAUUUAGGGGCUCCAUGUGCACAGCACCAUUGUAAGUCUAUGUGGAUUAAAGGAAUUCUACUCUUGAGUCCUAAUUCUUAACAAAUUUACAUCUACAGACAGUCCUAGACUUAUAAUGAUUCAACUAAAUGAUUCCUUGACUUUAUGAUGGUGUGAAACUUCCAAUUUUAACACAAUGUACAGUAUUCAAUAAACAUGAGAUAUUCCCUACUUUAUUAUAAA